CCGUCGAUUGCUCAGUUGGUAGAGCGGUGGACUGUAGAUCCAUAGGUCGCUGAUUCGAAUCCGGCUUGACGGA
This 73-nucleotide transfer RNA is filed under the name Dermacentor andersoni. RNAcentral describes it as "transfer RNA tyrosine (anticodon GUA)". It matches the Rfam family "tRNA". From Rfam's summary of the family: Transfer RNA (tRNA) molecules are approximately 80 nucleotides in length. Their secondary structure includes four short double-helical elements and three loops (D, anti-codon, and T loops). Lineage: Eukaryota; Metazoa; Arthropoda; Arachnida; Ixodida; Ixodidae. The record is from RNAcentral.